Molecule: long non-coding RNA, 3688 nt
Organism: Acinonyx jubatus (cheetah)
Lineage: Eukaryota; Metazoa; Chordata; Mammalia; Carnivora; Felidae
Exons: 11
Source: RefSeq, a predicted model, not a curated record
CUAAAGGGUGGAAACUUGCAGCCCCACGUUCCCCUUUGGGAUGUGCAGGAAUGGAGAAACAGCUUCAUGAAACUUUGUACCACUUGACAGUGGCCAGAGACAGGAAAGGAAGGCACAGAGUGCCAGAUAAUCUGGAGACUUUUUCCUUAGCAAAACGGAUGUGGUUGGAUUGCAUGACAUUAAUCUGCCUUGUUAGGCCGAGGAGGAGGGUUUUCCAUGGGCCUGGGACUUUCAGUGCUAAAACCGGGACAGUCCUGGGUAAAUUAGGGACUUGGGAUAAUGAAACAGAUUUAGGAGACCCCUCAAGGCUCUAGAUUGUUUGGGAAGUAAGGGAUCAUCUAAUGUAGUGCUCUUAAAAUUGGUUUCACAGAAGACCAGCCUCCCUUCUUUUGGAUGCAUAAUGUUAGGCAUCAUUUUAGAAAUAGGCUGAUGAAGCAGAGAUGCCCUUUUCAAAGCAGGGUGGGCAUGUGGAUGUUCCAGAAAGUCUCGAGUUAGCCUAGCCACCACCCCAUUUCAUGGAGAGAAGCUGAGGCCAGGAGACAUCAGAGACUUGGGCACCACACCUAGUUUAUGACAGGCCUGGGACCGCAUCUCCAGGUUUUAGAGUUUUGAGUUGACUUCAGCCCAUUACCAUUAUCCCUCAAAGUGUGAGCAGUGUACUCUUGAAUCAGAAUCACUGUGGAUGUUUCUUAAAAAUACCUACCAGGAGACCCUACCCAGACUUCUCAGGUUAGAAUGUAUUGAAGAGGGUCUGGGAAUGUUCCCUACAACAAGUUCCCAGGUAAUCCUUAGGAACAUGUGGCUCUUAUAUCCUCCACCCCUACCCCUUCCUUCAGGAUUCCUUACUCAGAAGUGCUGAAGAUACUUGGUCCUGUAAUCUUUCCAUUGUAUCAUUUGUAAUUGGGUACUUGAGCUUACUACCAGGUAUUGAACAGGAUAAUGAGAAGGACUUCUGGAUCUUGGGGGAAUAGGUAGGCCACAUAAACUUCAGCUCUGUCUGCCUACACCUCUAUCUGCCACAGCCAGACUGAAGCUGGAUGCCCCCCUGCCAAGCCCUCAUCUGUCAGCUGAGAAAAGUUUCUCACCCACGCCGGCCUGGGCUGGCUGUGGGAUUCACUCUCUUAAAUCAUAAAGAGUUUCCCCUGUCACUGUGUGGAAAAUAAUCUUUUCAUUGGACAGAGACAGAUGAGUCUUCCUGAGACCCUGUGCCCUUGAGAAACUGUGCCCUUCUGACCUGGGGGCGUCCAUCCUUCUCCUGUAGGCUGCAGUGGGUCCUGUGAGGACUUGAAGGGCACGAACCCACAUGGAGAUGCUUAUGGGACUUUCCUCAUUUUUUCCUUUCGCUCUGUCUCUUUCAGAAACCUCCUCUUUCGUAUCAUAUGAUUGGCUUUGGCUUUGAGAAAGUUGCGACUAGGAGACCCCAAAUGAGGAUGUCUUGCCAGCUCUUCAUAUUUUGAUGGGCUUUCCCAGCUCUGCCCUUCAGCUGGUCGGAAACCAUGGCCAUGGAAAGCCUCCUUUUUCGUUUGAUACCGACCCUCAAGCCAAACAGAUGGAGACUAUCACUCAAGUUGUUGGAAAUUCAGCAAGGAGUUCAGUGUCCUAAAAUGAGAAGAAGGAUGAAACAGAGAUCUGCCACCCACAGAACCCUACAGGAGGUUUCUUCAUGAGGAAAGAUAGAGUUCUGCAUCUGCUCUGUAUUCAGCCCUGAGAUCCAGCUUCCACAGCCCAAGGCAUGAUAAGAAACAGGUACGCCCCCUAAGCCUACCAAGAACUAAAAGCAGGCGGAGUCAUUUUCAUCAAAAGCCUACUUUUACCUGAAGGAAGUUGGGCAACACCAGUCUAGUGUGGUCUCCUGAAGGAAAAUGCAAGGGUUGGUGACUUACCAUGACAAGGCAAGACACUGUGAUUGAGAAGAAAAACUUCUAACCAAGAAAUGGGUGAACUGAAUUGGAGUUUGAAAUCUGCUACUUCUGAACUCUGUAUCUGAAGUUACUUCUAGAGAUCUAAGAGCAUCCGUAUCAUCUGCAAAUGGAUCAUUACGAUGGAAGGUGUUAAAAUACAGUUGAACAGUCUUCUGGCGAAAAAACAAAUAUUUGGAAGAUAAAGGAAGAAAAGAUAAAUGAGCGGAAAUGUAGGCAGGUCCUGUGGUUCAGUCAAGGAACUGAAACCAAAAAUAACUCGGAGACCCAGGAUAAGCCGAACUGAAUUUGGGGACUUGAAUCCUCAGUCCCACCAGGAGAGGGAUGAACAUAUUUGUACACCGAGGGGAACAGCCAAUGGAGCAUCGGAGCAGAGCAGUGCUCAAGGAAUGUUUACAGCUAAGGAGGCUCCAUGGAGGAUUGCUUGAAGGACAUGAAGUCCAUCUGUCUCCCUAGAUAGUUUAGAUUAUAUCUCAAGGUCAAGAAAGAUCAGACAUACGCCCCGAUUCUGUUUCUGUGGCUCUCCAGUCCCCACCACAAGGGGAGAGAGAGAGUUUCCUUGGGGACUCAGAAGUGACUUCUAUACUCCGGGAGGCUCUUGGAAUGGCUGGCAAGAAACUCAGAACUCAAAGUGGCAGGUUUGAUCUUGAUUUUCACCUGCGAGUGCGUUAUUGGAUCUACCUCAGACUUCAAUUUCUUGGAAGGACUCUUUUUAAGCCACUUGUUUUCCAAAUAAGAGAAUUCAUUGGGCAAAACCAGACAAGGCACUUUGUGGAAGGUGUAAACUUCAGGUAACAUCCUGCACCUGAAACACCCUGCACCUGAAAGAACCAGACGGGGGCGCAACCGUCACCCCUCUGCCCCUGAUGCUCCCCUAAGUACUCCACAGAUAAAAUACUUGGCAUGUGACCACUUUCCUAGGCACCAUGUAAAGGUGCCAGGGUAAAUGAGUACAAUACACAUUGGUAAAGCCGUUCUCUUUUUGGUCAUUACAUUUUCUUUAAUCAUUAAAGGAAGAAGAAAUCGAAUUUCCAAUGUUCUUCCCAAAUCGCAGUGAAUUGUCUUGCUCACUCAACUUUGGAGAACCCUGCCUUAGGCAAAUUAUUUACUGCCUCUCAGUUUCUUCAUCUGUAAAAUGGGGAUAAUAUCGCAUAAGUCACCGGGUUAAGUGGAUAAAUGGCAUAUGUACAGGCCUCUGCAUAGACACUGGUGUGUGAUUUAAAGGAGAAAUAAAAGAUAAUGAUUACUACUGUAUUGCUGUGUGUGCACUCACGUUACUCCUAGCCUAAUUUAAAAAGCAAACAAAGCCUCUUCUCGGUGCUCUUUACGUGAGGGCAAGAGCCAUACCUUCUCACCUCCCACCUAACCUCCCAAAACAAAACAAAACAAAAUAAGACAAAAACCAAAAGCAUAUUAGCCUUUUCAGCUUGGAAGGCGACAGAUUCUGAACACUUGGUGAUCUCGUUCAUUAACAUGAUAAUUACUGAUGGGGAAGGCCUGUUCAAUCCUACCGGACAAUUUUGAUAUAUGAUCUCCCAUCCUGUCAUUCAACCAAGUUUUUUUGUUUUUGUUUUUAAAACAACAUACAACAUACUAGACCUCCGGCUGAGGGCUGAGGUUUCAAAGAUGAAUUGAACUUGCCCUACACCCUCCAGGCACUAACCAUCUAGUGGAGGAUACCAAACAAAUAAUCGCAUCAAAGUGAUAAGUGCUGUAAUGGAGGUAGGUGCUGGUUGCUAUGGGAGCAGGUAGACUAAGCAGCUUCCUUU